ACAACUGUUUCAUAUUUUAUUUCCACACUUAAAUUUGCGCUUGUUAAAUGAAACCCCAUUGUCAAGUUGGCGUGUAUUCCUGCUGCCUCCUCAGGUCCUGCUUCAGAGCUUGCUGUUUGCAUUUGGGUGUCCUGCUCGUAACCCUUCAGUGAGGAACAGGGAAGACAAAAUCAUUGAAACCAUACUUUACUGAAAAUCCUAGAAGAAUAAAUUGGAACAGAACGACCUUGGGGCACUUGGAAGGACAUGGCCAUCCUGAACUGGGGACACCAUCCAAGCUACCGUGCUGGCACUGACCACCACUGCAGAGAAACUUCGAUCAGGACUCUCACGCUGACAAAUGAGGAGCAGGGAAGAAACCCAGGAUGCUGUGAAUGGUAGUGCCUGAAGGAAACCCCAGGCAGCACAGCACAGAGAGGAAGAUUGCUAUGGUUAUUUUAAUGUUUGCUUCAUGCAGCUUUUGUCACUCCAGACAAGGAAUGAUUUUUGGGUUCGGUUGUUCAUCCAAAGUUCUGUCAAAGACUCUGCAGACACUUGAAUUAUUCAGCAGGUCCUAUCAGGGCAGGGUACAUUUUGUCACUGCCCUUAUUUCAAAACCAGUUUUUACUUGGGAGAGUAUCUGUGUUGAUGAUGGGAAGCUGAGAUACACAGGCACGUUUUCAUUCAUUUAAAUUCACCAGCAGAGACUCUGGCUUGCAGUGUAAGUUCUUUUCCAGUGUAAGCAUCUUGGACCCACAUGUAUCUUUGCUUCUGGCUUCAGGCUGGUGGAUGGAAAGAAGAACUGAAGAUGUGCUGAAGGCAAGAGUCUGUGUCUGAGAACACGGAAAAUAGCACAAUCUGGGCUGUGUCUUUUCGUGUGACAUAAGAGACUGUACCAAUACCGAUCCAGAACCUUGAGCAAUAUUGUCCUGUGGUUUGAUUUCCAUUCUAGCAUGCUAAAUGAAGUAAGGCCCAGGUUUUUCAUGCCACUUUCCAUUUUUGAUUUAGGAAAUUUGAAAAAUACUUGUCUUGAGGCUGUGCCUGAAGUUAUUAUCUUGGCAUAUCCAUACCAUAAAGUUCCCGUGGAUAAAAGCAGAAACAUCUGGAUUCAUGAGUGGAUGUUGGCUAAAUCCAGCAGACAAAAAAAAAAAAAAAAGAAGCCUUCAAGGGAUCCUAGAGUGUUCUAGCCAGAAUAAAUAAUACAACAAAAUAAUAGUGUUAUUAAGAGUAAUUGCAAUACUGAAGCUGAAAUAUAAGAUGAGGGCCAAGCCUUUUUCACAGUCUGCUUUUCCAGCUAAAAGUCCUUCAAUUUACACUUAACACACGUGGCUGAUGGAACAAAGAGAAAAAAUGAAGAAGGAUGAAAGCAAUGCAGAGAUUAUUCCGCCUUGCUGGUUUAGCUCCAGGCACAUCAUUUAAAUGAGUAGAUGAUCAGUUUCCAGUUUGUUUUAAUUCUCUGGCAAGAAAUUUUAUGCUCUAUCCCAAAGUUAGAUGUGCUUGAAACUUUUUUUAAGGCUCUGCCAUUUUGUUUUAUUUCUUAAGGCAAGACUCUGGAAGUGUUCUGCAGGAGUCACCUCCCUGCUGGGACUGGAGGGGCAGCCUGGCUGUGUCAUUGACGGGGCUGUGUCCCUGCUCUCAACCUUUGGGGACCCUGUGACAUGGGAACAGUUGCUCCUUUUCUCCCUCAUCCCUGAGAGACUGAGCCAGAUGUUAUAUCUGAGCUCAGUAGCACCCACUGUCAAGGAAAGUGUCCAAAACCAUUGUGUCCCAAAUACUUGCAGCAUCUUUGGCUGCACGCUCUUGUACCAGCACCACAUGCCUCUUUUACAGCUAGUGAAAGACUUGUGCUGCUUGCUCCUUGCAUCUCCCCUUGGAAUUUUCAGGGUUAAUAGCUGCUGAACAGCACACCCUCUCACCACCCAGCCCCUCCUGCAUAGGUCUCCUCCACCUACCUUACCACGAGUUUCUAAAGCCAAUAUGAGCCCAGCCUGUACAGCGUAUCUUCCCCUGCUGUGAUAGAGUAAACUAAACCCACAGCCAGGUGUUUAAAAAAUCUGUACUACUGAUCCUUGCUGACCUUGCAGAUUCCUGGAAAGCCUCAGCCAUUUGCCCAAUCUGUAACCUUCAGCCAAUGCAGCUUGGGAGGUCAGACCACUCCCCAGUGCGGAGAGAGACAGAAACUUGCUGACAGCAACUGGAGUUGUUUCCAAAGAUGACCUGCCCAUCACAGCCAGCAUGAAACCAACACCCUCAGUGCCAGGAAUGUCUGCAGAACAUGAAUGCAUCGUCCAGAACAGGAUCAUCUUUUCCCUAGGGAAAGAAAUUGUUGAUGUAAUGUGUUUGUAGCAAAUAAAUUUAGAGGGAAUAGGCUCUAGCCUGUGACUUGACGAUCACACAGCUAAUGCUGUUGGUGUCUUUGAUUGCCCCAGAUGUGAAGGGUAGGGUCACUGAGAGCUUUGAGAGACACUUUGGAGGCUGGAAAUCACUCGUAGGACCUGCUCCUGGGCACAGUAGAGGAUAGACCUUUGAUUUAGAGGUAUUAGAGCUGGGUGCCUCCCAUUGCUCAUCAGACCGCAGCCCUGUUUCUCCCUACCUGCCACAGCAAAUAUUUUGUUUGCAUGAGCCAAAGCAAUCGUGUUGUGUACUUUAUCACAUGCAAUCCCCAAGGCACACUGCUGAUAACCAUUAAACUCACUUCAGACCUGCGGUCCGCCCUCUGGAGUGCUGCCACCAACCACGGUGGCACUAGGUAGAACCAUUUGCCCCAGGGCAUGCCCCGAUCCUCCUAAAGGAGACUGAAAUGAGACAGUUGUGCUUCAGGGUAAGCCAGCUUGCACGGUGGUAGUUUCUUGGACCACUGCAACAACUAUGUCCCCUCCCCAUAUUGGGGGAAAGUGGAGUGACAAUUUUAACAAAUGGUAAUGUUACUAUUGAAGUUAUGCCUUUAAAGAUCCCAUAAUACCCAAUUCAUCCAGCUAGGUGGGAUUCAGCAGUGAGCUGAUUUAUGGCAUA
Long non-coding RNA from Cuculus canorus (common cuckoo), 2991 nucleotides. RefSeq lists it as uncharacterized. Lineage: Eukaryota; Metazoa; Chordata; Aves; Cuculiformes; Cuculidae. The transcript is spliced from 5 exons. The record is from RefSeq and is a predicted model, not a curated record.